AUGUGUGGCCACACAAGGAAGGACCGAGUCCGGAAUGAUGAUAUACGAGAUAGAGUUGGGGUAGCACCAAUUGAAGAGAAGCUGGUCCAACAUCCUCUGAGAUGGUUUGGGCAUAUUCAGUACAGGCCUCCAGAAGCUUCAGUUUUUUUAGAAAAGGAUCCAGAAGCUUCAGUGCAUAGCGGACGGCUAAAGCGUGCUGAUAAUGUCAAAAGAGGCCGGGGUAGACCGAACUUGACAUGGGAGGAGUCCGUAAAGAGAGAUCUGAAGGACUGGAGUAUUACCAAAGAACUAGCCAUGGACAGGGGUGCGUGGAAGCUGCUAUCCAUGUGCCAGAACCAUGAGUUGGUCGGGUGUUAUGGCGCUGCUAGAAGGAGGGUGCGAGAGGGCUGGCUGGGGGCCUUUUGCCCACGGCCGGGCAAGAGGGAAGGGAUUUCCUUCUUAAUUCUUGCUUGA
This 453-nucleotide ribosomal RNA is filed under the name Triticum aestivum (bread wheat). RNAcentral's name for it is "partial small subunit ribosomal RNA". Lineage: Eukaryota; Viridiplantae; Streptophyta; Magnoliopsida; Poales; Poaceae. The record is from RNAcentral.